Non-coding RNA from Acanthosepion pharaonis, 98 nucleotides. Lineage: Eukaryota; Metazoa; Mollusca; Cephalopoda; Sepiida; Sepiidae. The record is from the annotation of a GenBank genome assembly.
UUUAAACACCAGUUCCUGUAAGAUCCCCAAAGUUAAGCAAUGUCGAGCCUAGUCAGUACCUAGAUGGACGAUCUCUUGGGAAUACCAGAUGCUGUAAG